This 206-nucleotide long non-coding RNA is filed under the name Elaeis guineensis (African oil palm). Its description in RNAcentral is "long non-coding RNA (EGUI_LNC048831)". The record is from RNAcentral. Lineage: Eukaryota; Viridiplantae; Streptophyta; Magnoliopsida; Arecales; Arecaceae.
CGACCUAAGAUUUUAUUUCUAAACCUCACUUAUAGGCAUAUAUGUUUGAUUGAAUACACCAAGGGAGAUCCUAGGAUUUUGGAUUUCGGAUUUAUCGGAUUUCAUAAAAAUUUUGAAAUCUAGUCUUUUGUUGCAUGACCUGAAACCCAACAGUGGUAUCAGAGCCUUCUUUGAUCAAUUCAAUCAGAUGUGAUAUUUAUUGAUGA